This 427-nucleotide ribosomal RNA is filed under the name uncultured beta proteobacterium. Its description in RNAcentral is "bacterial SSU rRNA". It matches the Rfam family "Bacterial small subunit ribosomal RNA", at positions 355 to 774 of the family's 1533-position model. The record is from RNAcentral. Lineage: Bacteria; Pseudomonadati; Pseudomonadota; Betaproteobacteria.
UGGGGAAUUUUGGACAAUGGGCGAAAGCCUGAUCCAGCCAUGCCGCGUGAGUGAAGAAGGCCUUCGGGUUGUAAAGCUCUUUUAGUCGGAAAGAAAGAGUUGCAAUGAAUAAUUGUGAUUUAUGACGGUACCGACAGAAAAAGCACCGGCUAACUACGUGCCAGCAGCCGCGGUAAUACGUAGGGUGCGAGCGUUAAUCGGAAUUACUGGGCGUAAAGGGUGCGCAGGCGGUCUUGCAAGUCAGAUGUGAAGGCCCCGGGCUUAACCUGGGAAUUGCGUUUGAAACUACAAGGCUAGAGUGCAGCAGAGGGGAGUGGAAUUCCAUGUGUAGCAGUGAAAUGCGUAGAGAUGUGGAAGAACACCGAUGGCGAAGGCAGCUCCCUGGGUUGACACUGACGCUCAUGCACGAAAGCGUGGGGAGCAAACA